RNAcentral lists this small nuclear RNA (107 nucleotides) under Neogale vison (American mink). Lineage: Eukaryota; Metazoa; Chordata; Mammalia; Carnivora; Mustelidae. The record is from RNAcentral.
GUGCUUGCUUCCGCAGCACAUACACUAAAAUUGGAAUGAUAAAGAGAAGAUCAGCAUGGCCCCUACAGAAGGAUGACAUGCAAACUCGUGAAGCGUUCCAUAUUUUU